GGACUAAGCUUCCAGCAUACAACCGUCUUGGGAACAAGACCUCUUAAAGCAUGGUGUCCUCCUAGGAAGACAUGGGGUGAUGGCUGAACUCUUUUGGAAGAUAACAUGGCGGAGUCCAGUCAGCCUCAGGUAGUGCUGACGAGCCUAGAGUACAUACUGUGACCUCAAGACUUUGUUCCAAGAUAAAUUCCCCAGCAGAUUAAAGGCUUAUUGCCUUGGGUGUUUAUUUGUUCUCCAAGGAGUGUUCCAAUGAGACCCGCCCAUAGGAAUGUCAACACAGGGGCCCCCGCUUUCUUUCUUUUCUCUUACCUUUGUUGGGUGAACUUGAAGCAAGCACACCAUGAGUCACUGUUCCCACCUCCUCCUAGAAUUGUCCCAUCAGAAUUCUAAGCAGGGAUGACAUUACAAACCUCUAACACUUUCAGGAUAGACUAAGCCACAUACACUUGGCAUGUGUGAGUAUGGUGUUUACACAGGGUAAAGAGGAAGCUUUGCUGGGUUGUUUGGAAUAUGAAAAAAAAAUUACAGGAUUGAAUGGCCACAAAACAUUUUCAGCAUCACUUGGCAUAGAAUGAACAGUUAGUAAAGGCAAUCUGUCUGUGUCCUGGAAGAAUCCAUGCUUCUAAGGUGCAACCUGUUUGUGCUAUGAACUCUUUGAAAUUCAUAACUCCAUUUUUCCUGAAAGGAACACAUGGUAUAAAAUCAGAUUAGAGUGCAACUAGGGACCACAUAAUUGACUACAAUGGGAUUAUUUUAAAAGACGGAUUGUCAGUAAUUAAGCCAGGGUAGGAAGACAAUCUAAAAGAAUCAUUCUUGCAAUAAAAUCACUUCGACAGGGGCCAGCAGAGGGCAGCUGUCAGGAAACCGGUUUCUAAGUCAUUUUCUGUGCCAGGGCCCUUUGCUCGGGGAGGGGACUGAGUUACAUAAGAGGCAGCAUCAAGUUGUGCCUGCUGAACAUUCCUUGGCUCACAGCAAGAGUGUGUUGGAACCAUGGCCUGGCACCCCGCUUCAGUGGAAUCUGGGGGUGUGGGAGGAAUGUCUCAGGGAGACAUUGGGAGUGACUCUGGGGUUCCUUCCCUGCAGGUACCUUCAGCUCCCUGGGCACAGAGAGAUCAAAAGGUCUUUCUAAAACAUAAAUCAAAGAGGGUUGGUGCUGGCAGCUGGGCGGUGGUGGCGCACGCCUUCAAUCCCAGCACCCAGAGGCAGAGGCAGGUGAAUCUCUGAGUUCGAGGCUAGCCUGGUCUACAGAGGGAGUUCCAGGACAGCCAGGACUGUUACACAGAUGAAACCCUGUCUCAAAGAAAAAGAGGGUUGGUGCUGUGGCCAGGGCCAGCCUGGGCUACAGAGUGGGACCCAGUCUCAAAGCAAAGCAAUUGCGCUAGAGUUGUAACUCCGUUUUCAGCCAUGCUUGUCAGCACACCUGAAGCCCGGGUCCCAUCUCGAGCACAGCAUGAACUGGAGGUGGUGGCUCACGUCUUUGGCUCUAGAGCUUGGGAGGUGGAGGAAGUGUGCUCAGGAGUUCAAGGUCAUCUUCAUAGUGAGGUUGAGGGUAAGACUGGCUUACCUGAGACGCUGCAUCAGCACCCCCCUCCCCACCCCCCGCCACACUCACCAGAAAAAGGAAAACUCCAACUCGACCAGAACAAACACAGAUCAGGGACCGGCAUGUAGCUCAGUGGGAGAGUAUGUACUGGACUUCGUGAGGCCCUGGGUUCGAUGCCUAGCACUCGAACCCAAAACCAUAUUCAGUCAAAUCUCUUCUCAUAAGUUUCCAUGCUUCAGUCUCUACGACCAAUCCGUUCUCCUUUGCCCCGUGCCCAGGCACAUUCACUUUGUGCCGGCAGUGCCGACCCUCUGGAUAUUUCUCCGAACUCAGUCCACACGGCAGGGCCUUUGCACCUGCUGGUCCCUCUGAGUGGAGCUGACCUCAUUCAGACAACUGUGCCCAACACUCGCUCCUCUUGGUUCUUUUUCCAAUGAGCUGUUCCCAGCAAGAGAUCUCUUGUCUAUGUAUAAAGAUAAACGGCUGAUGCCUUGUGUGGCCCGGCUGUGAUUUAUUUUAUUCUUUCAUAUACAGUGGAUGUGUGAGAAGGACCCAGCCUCAAAUGUCACCUAUGAAAACAGGACACAGAUCCACUGCAGCCUGUGUGCUGAAGCCGGCAACACAAAGACAGCCAGGUCAUAGCCAGAUGGUGGUUGGCCUUAGCAUGGGAGGUGGGCUUGGGUCUCCCUCAGCUGCAGAGUGAGCUUCAAAAAUAGGUGUCUUGUAGGGUUUCUGUUGCUCUGAAGAGACACCAUGGCCAUGGCACCUCUUAUAAAGGAAAAACAUUUAAUUGGGGUGGCCUACAUUUUCAGAAGUUUAGUCCAUUAUCAUGGUGUGACAUGGUGGCAUGAAGGCAGACAUGGUGCUGGGAAAGAAGCUGAGAGUCCUGAAUCUUGACCCGCAGGCAACAGGAAGUGAUCUGAACUGUAACACGGAGGGUAGCUUGAGCAAAGGAGACCUCAAAGCCCACCCCCACAGUGAGACACUUCCUCCACAAAGGCCACACCUCCUAAUAGUGCCACUCCCAUUGGGAGCUGUUUUCUUUCAAACCACCACAGUAGGGCUAUAGAUUCAGGGUCCCAGGAGGCAGCAAAGAUGUGGGUGAGAAGCACAAUAUGUCAGAUAGGGAAAGGGCUUGGCAUGGGCCAGAGACUCUUUCGGACAUGCUCAGUUCCCUGCUGACCAGGGAAGUGGUGAUCCAAGGAGGCUGAGAGGCAGUUGGGAAGAGGGGAUCACAGAAAAUGGUGGAGCUUGCUGAACAGUGUUUUCCUCUGAAUUCAAAGCUCCUGGAGGAAGGCUUAUAGGAUGAAGAUCCCCAUCGCUAAUGAAACUUACUAGCCCAAGAUGCUCAAAACGUUGUCAGAGUCACAAAGCCCCUAGCCAAAGUUAUAAAAGCAGCAAACAGUUGCUCCUGGGAGGAGACUCUUUGGUGGAGCUGCCUGCAGCCCGUGUGGAGAGUUCCAGGGGUGCGGCUUUCCUGAGUCAUCGCCAAAAUGGGGUGCACUUUUUAGUGCUGCAGUCGUCAUCCAUUCCACUGUCAAUAAAUAACUCAUUUAUCUUCCUGUAAGUCACCCCAAUAAACUCAUUGGUUCAAUAUUUAUGUGUAUAUUUAUUUAGACAGGAUUUAGAAGGAUACAAAUGAAAACCUAAAUCAUAUUUGCCUCUAGCCUGUAGAUCUUCUCCUUAAAAGGACAGAAUCAAGGAGAGAGAUUCUGCUUUCAUUUUGCAUUCUUGUUCCACCUUAAAAAAAUCAGUACUGAGGAUUGAACCCACAGUUUCAUACAUCCUAGCCCAGGCUGGUCUUGAACCUGCAGAAUUCUUCAGUCUGCCAAGUGCUGGGAUUACAGGUCAGAAGAGAGUGUUGGAUCCCUUGAAACUGGAGUUACAGUGUCGGGGAGCCAUGUGAGAGGAACAGCAAACAGCUUUGGAACUCAUGGAGGUCAGCAUAAAGAGGUCACGAGAGUCUUGGAGAGGCAGAGCCCGAGGACUGUGUGUGUCCCGAGGACCUCCUGCUGUUACUGAGCACAACUCUGCUUAUUACCCUCACGGUCAUCACGUCCCUCAUCAUCUAUGGGUUGUGUGAACACUCUCAGGGGGUUUCCAGCCCCUCACUGGGCAGUGUUACUGGUACUUACAAUAACAGCGAUUGACUUUUUCCAAGUGUUGCUGCUGGAGCAGAUUCAACCACCACCCUUAGGAAGAAUUUAGACAGGUAGAAUUGUUAGUAAGGUUAGGUUAAGGUGUUUUUUGUUCAUGGCUUUGAGGUAGAAAAUCUUGGGGAACGAUUUAAAGUUUAGAAAGUCACACUUCUGUUAGUUAAGCAAGGCACCCGCUGAGGCCAGGGAAUAAAAACCACAGCAGCCCGGCUGCUGCCUUUCUGGCUAGGAUAGAUUGGUGAUCAAAGGUGAUGAUUAGUUCCUUGUACCCAUUUCUGCCCCCAGCUUUCUGGUAUGAUUUAAUAAAAAACUGUUCAUGAAUGGGUAUGCACCCUGAGAAUUUAAAGUAGAAAUGACUGUUUUUCAUAUAUAAAAGUCUAGAUUUGUGAUUCUUUUAAGGUUUUUAUUUUAUUUAUUUACUUAUUUAUUUAUAUAAAAUUACCCAUUGAGAUAAAUAAUAAAAUGAUUGAUCCUUUCUUUGUAAAAGAACUGGCUGAGAAAAAGGCAUUGCUUACUUAUACUCUGUUAAUCUAUAACAAGUUGCUCUGCUAUGAAUGUAUAUGGAUCUUUGGAAAUCAUUUGUUUUUUACAUGUAAUACUUAGAAGGUUUACUCAUGUAAGGGAAAUGAGAAACAUGCUGUUUUUUACUUGUAUUCAUUGUAAUCCUUCACUUGAAAAAUAGAAUGCAAACACAAUGUAAUUUUUAUACUGCUUGAAAGAUAUUGCUGGGGUACAUAAGCUGUAUUGAAAAAAUAAAAA
This is a long non-coding RNA of Peromyscus californicus insignis, 4458 nucleotides long. RefSeq lists it as uncharacterized. NCBI's taxonomy places the organism in Eukaryota, Metazoa, Chordata, Mammalia, Rodentia, Cricetidae. The record is from RefSeq and is a predicted model, not a curated record. The transcript has 3 exons.